GAUGAACGCUGGCGGCGUGCCUAAUACAUGCAAGUCGAGCGAACAGACGAGGAGCUUGCUCCUUUGACGUUAGCGGCGGACGGGUGAGUAACACGUGGGUAACCUACCUAUAAGACUGGGAUAACUUCGGGAAACCGGAGCUAAUACCGGAUAAUAUUUCGAACCGCAUGGUUCGAUAGUGAAAGAUGGCUCUGCUAUCACUUAUAGAUGGACCUGCGCCGUAUUAGCUAGUUGGUAAGGUAACGGCUUACCAAGGCAACGAUACGUAGCCGACCUGAGAGGGUGAUCGGCCACACUGGAACUGAGACACGGUCCAGACUCCUACGGGAGGCAGCAGUAGGGAAUCUUCCGCAAUGGGCGAAAGCCUGACGGAGCAACGCCGCGUGAGUGAUGAAGGUCUACGGAUCGUAAAACUCUGUUAUUAGGGAAGAACAAACGUGUAAGUAACUGUGCACGUCUUGACGGUACCUAAUCAGAAAGCCACGGCUAACUACGUG
This 497-nucleotide ribosomal RNA is filed under the name uncultured bacterium. RNAcentral's name for it is "partial 16S ribosomal RNA". It matches the Rfam family "Bacterial small subunit ribosomal RNA", at positions 28 to 507 of the family's 1533-position model. The record is from RNAcentral.